CAAAUCAGAGCUUGUGAAAGUGUUUUAUUUACGUUAAAAUGAAAAUUUGAAUUAAUUUGAUUUGA
This 65-nucleotide transfer RNA is filed under the name Pelecotoma fennica. Its description in RNAcentral is "tRNA-Val". Lineage: Eukaryota; Metazoa; Arthropoda; Insecta; Coleoptera; Ripiphoridae. The record is from RNAcentral.